UGGGGAAUAUUGCACAAUGGGGGAAACCCUGAUGCAGCGACGUCGCGUGGAGGAUGAAGGUUUUCGAAUCGUAAACUCCUGUUCAGAGGGAAGAAAGGCUUAGGUUUAAUAGACUUGAGUUAUGACAGUACCUCUAGAGAAAGCCCCGGCUAACUUCGUGCCAGCAGCCGCGGUAAUACGAAGGGGGCGAGCGUUAUUCGGAAUUACUGGGCGUAAAGAGCGUGUAGGUGGUAUGAUAAGUCAGUUGUUAAAGACUACGGCCCAACCGUAGAGCAGCGAUUGAAACUGUUAUACUAGAGGGUAGGAGAGAGGAGUGGAAUUCUCGGAGUAGCGGUAGAAUGCGUAAAUCUCGAGAGGAACACCGAUUGCGAAGGCAGCUUCUUGGCCUAUCCCUGACACUCAAACGCGAAAGCGUGGGGAGCAAACAGGAUUAGAUACCCCCGUAGUCC
This 449-nucleotide ribosomal RNA is filed under the name uncultured prokaryote. RNAcentral describes it as "bacterial SSU rRNA". It matches the Rfam family "Bacterial small subunit ribosomal RNA", at positions 355 to 796 of the family's 1533-position model. The record is from RNAcentral.